ACGAGGAGCGGUCAUCAUAUGUUGAGGAAAUCUAUGAUGCGACGAAUUGUAUUCGCCACAUACUCUGAUCUCUGUUCUCUUCGAAGAUGAUUGAUAGGGCCUCUCAACCAUCGGUAGUGUCCCAUACCAGGGCGGGAAGACCACCUAGUUAUUGGAUCAUUAUUGAGGCCUUCAUAACUUCCUUCGAAUAGAAUAUUCGGAACACCAUCAGGAGUUGUUCUUACCUCUAGCAAAAUCACCAAACAUCGGGAGUCCCUUCCCAAAUCGUGAUACCAAACGCGUUGUAUCUCACCAUCUGUUCGAGGAAGAACAUGUCGUUCUUGAAGAUCUUCAUCUCGAUUGCGUCGUCUUGAAGGUUGUGACAAUCGUAAUGUCUCGUC
This 380-nucleotide long non-coding RNA is filed under the name Physcomitrium patens. Its description in RNAcentral is "long non-coding RNA (PPAT_LNC001377)". The record is from RNAcentral. Lineage: Eukaryota; Viridiplantae; Streptophyta; Bryopsida; Funariales; Funariaceae.